UUGAUAGGCUCUACGUGGAAGUCCAGUAAUGGAUGCAGCGGAGGAGUACUAAUAGACCGAGGGCUUGACCAA
RNAcentral lists this ribosomal RNA (72 nucleotides) under Synechococcus sp. RNAcentral describes it as "partial 23S ribosomal RNA". Lineage: Bacteria; Bacillati; Cyanobacteriota; Cyanophyceae; Synechococcales; Synechococcaceae. The record is from RNAcentral.